GAUGAACGCUGGCGGCAGGCUGAACACAUGCAAGUCGAGCGGGGUGAUGGUGCUUGCACUAUCACUUAGCGGCGGACGGGUGAGUAAUGCUUAGGAAUCUGCCUAUUAGUGGGGGACAACAUCUCGAAAGGGAUGCUAAUACCGCAUACGUCCUACGGGAGAAAGCAGGGGAUCACUUGUGACCUUGCGCUUAUAGAUGAGGAUACGUCGGAUUAGCUAGUUGGUGGGGUAAAGGCCUACCAAGGCGACGCUCUGUAGCGGGUCUGAGAGGAUGAUCCGCCACACUGGGACUGAGACGCGGCCCAGACUCCUACGGGAGGCAGCAGUGGGGCAUAUUGGACAAUGGGGGAACCCUGAUCCAGCCAUGCCGCGUGUGUGAAGAAGGCCUUAUGGUUGUAAAGCACUUUAAGCGAGGAGGAGGCUCUUUUGGUUAAUACCCAAGAUGAGUGGACGUUACUCGCAGAAUAAGCACCGGCUAACUCUGUGCCAGCCGCCGCCGUAA
RNAcentral lists this ribosomal RNA (502 nucleotides) under uncultured bacterium. Its description in RNAcentral is "partial 16S ribosomal RNA". It matches the Rfam family "Bacterial small subunit ribosomal RNA", at positions 28 to 523 of the family's 1533-position model. The record is from RNAcentral.